Molecule: ribosomal RNA, 537 nt
Filed under: Triticum aestivum (bread wheat)
Lineage: Eukaryota; Viridiplantae; Streptophyta; Magnoliopsida; Poales; Poaceae
Description: partial small subunit ribosomal RNA
Source: RNAcentral
CCUGGCCUCCUCGAGGAUCUUCUGACAUACGUUGGAGACGUGUCAGUCGACGGUGCUACACCGGAGCCGGCCAGGAUCCUCUCCACCAAGGACAAGGAAGGGAAGGAAUCCACUGAGCCAAAUCCUCUCCAUCCCAUCUGGGUGCGUGAGGAUCAGCAGGUGCUUGGAUACCUGCUGAACAACCUCACCAUUGUGCAGGUGACCGCGAUCACCACGUCGCACGAGCUCUGGGCGGCACUAUCAGGCAUGUUCUCCUCGCAGUCUCUCAGCCGCGUCAACAACAUCAGAACCUCCCUGGUGAACACCCAGAAGGGCAACAAGACCGUCACCACCUACUUCGCCGAGAUGCGUGGCUUCGCCGACGAACUCGCCGCCGCUGGGAAGCCGCUCCAGGAUGAUGAGCUCGUCUCCUACAUCCUCCAUGGCCUCGACAUGGACUAUCAACCCCUCGUCACUGCCCUUGACAUGUGCAUCACUCCAGUAUCCCUUGAUGAACUCUUCUCCAUGUUAAGCAAUUUCGAUCAAAGGGUUGCGCAG